Long non-coding RNA from Capsicum annuum, 1130 nucleotides. RefSeq lists it as uncharacterized. Lineage: Eukaryota; Viridiplantae; Streptophyta; Magnoliopsida; Solanales; Solanaceae. The transcript has 4 exons. The record is from RefSeq and is a predicted model, not a curated record.
CUUCCCAUCUCCCCAUAACAUCAAUCACGCGUAACAUCGAUUCCAAGGAGCCAUCAACACAUCUCCCUCUCCUUACUCAAAAAAGAACGACAAACACUCCAUUUUCUUUCCCCCAUCUCUUCUCUCUCCCCCAAAUGAGGGUGGCUAGCGGCCGUAGCUGCCGCCGUCUACCACCACUGCACCGAAUUCCCCCAUUUUUAAAUCCCCAAGACCGUGAGUUCGAAGAAACCAGAGAAUGUCAGCCCCUAAAUCGCGCAAUAACGGAAAAUUUCUUAGAAUUCGCAACAAAAGGUUGGAAAAAGGCUGAAAUUUGCAGAUCGACGUCAAAUUUGAAUUCAAAUAUCAUCUCCAUAAAAAUGUUGUUUCAAAUCUGGACUUUGAAGUCCUUCUCAAGGCAUGAGCAGCGAGGGAGGUAAAAAAGAAGGUCUGCGAGUUAGAGGUUUGAGAGAAAAUAAGAAAGGCUGAGAUUGAAAAAAAGAAGAAGAAAAACAUAGAAAAUCGAGUGAAGUAAGAAAAGAAAAUUAGCCGGAGAGUUUGUUGUUUCUCUUUUCGAUUGUGGGCCAAACUCCGAGUUCCGACAUUGAAUGUAGUCGAAAAUCCUUGAUAAGAAGCCCGAGUUUUCUUCCCGACAAAAGGUCUGCGGAUAUGUGGACUUGCGCGAUUAUUUUGAUUUGGGAUAGCUGGUUGUUUCUGGUUGCAAACCGAGGUCAAAGUUAGUUUAUCGUGCAUAUGAGAUUACCUGUGUGGGCGAUGAUAAUUUUACAGGGUCCUAUGGGUUGGUGGACAGUGGGAGUAUAUUUUGUUCUUCACUGUAGUGAAGUUUUCAGAUUUAGCACACGGGAGGUAUAUACAUUCUUUUGCUACCACGUAUAAGGUUCUAGUUCGAGUGUGUCUCAGCUUGGUUGAUUCGGGCGACAUUUAGUGUUUUCAAGGUAGUGGUUGACUUUCAGGCGUCCGGAUGUGUUCUACUACCUUUCUUAUAGAUUAUGUCCUUACUUUCAUUUCCUAGAUAGAGUUUCUCUUGUAUUUGGAUAUCUUAUGUAUUUCUUUUGAAUUUGAGUUGUAUCAGAUAUGUUCUUAUACUAUUGACAUCAUGUUUUGAGAAUUAUGAUUGUAUUAUUGAUUUUGCA